CAGUAGCCGCGGGAAUACGGAGGGUGCAAGCGUUAUCCGGAUUUAUUGGGUUUAAAGGGUCCGUAGGCGGAUCUGUAAGUCAGUGGUGAAAUCUCACAGCUUAACUGUGAAACUGCCAUUGAUACUGCAGGUCUUGAGUAAAUUUGAAGUGGCUGGAAUAAGUAGUGUAGCGGUGAAAUGCAUAGAUAUUACUUAGAACACCAAUUGCGAAGGCAGGUCACUAAGAUUUAACUGACGCUGAUGGACGAAAGCGUGGGGAGCGAACAGGAUUAGAUACCCGUGUAGUCUCUGUCUCUUAUAU
This 301-nucleotide ribosomal RNA is filed under the name uncultured bacterium. Its description in RNAcentral is "partial 16S ribosomal RNA". It matches the Rfam family "Bacterial small subunit ribosomal RNA", at positions 509 to 809 of the family's 1533-position model. The record is from RNAcentral.